RNAcentral lists this ribosomal RNA (1387 nucleotides) under Gastrophryne olivacea (western narrow-mouthed toad). RNAcentral's name for it is "partial 16S ribosomal RNA". It matches the Rfam family "Bacterial large subunit ribosomal RNA", at positions 24 to 2574 of the family's 2925-position model. The record is from RNAcentral. Lineage: Eukaryota; Metazoa; Chordata; Amphibia; Anura; Microhylidae.
CUAAAAACCUAGUCUCUCCCCCUUCCAUGAAGCAUUAACCCUCUUCAUUAACCAAUAAAACAUUUUCUCUUUUUAGUAGGGGCGGACUGAAAAAUUAUUAAGAACUACAACAAAAGUACCGCAAGGGAAAGGUGAAAUAGAAAUUAAAUAAAAAUUAAGCACAACAAAGCAGAGACUCCCCCUCGUACCUUUUGCAUCAUGGUUUAGCUAGUCAAACCAAGCAGAAAGAAUUUUAGUUUGACCCCCCGAAACUAGGUGAGCUACUUCAAAACAGCCUAUCAAGGGCCAACCCGUCUCUGUUGCAAAAGAGUGGGAAGAUUUUCAAGUAGAGGUGACAGACCUACCGAACCUAGAGAUAGCUGGUUAUUUAGGAAAAGGAUUUAAGUCCUACCUUAAGUUCCCCUCUUCGUAGUAAAACUUCCGCGAACUUAAGAGCUAUUCAAACAACGUACAGCCUGUUUGAAACAGGAAACAACCUCAAAAACAGGGUAACCACAAAUGACAUGUGUAUAAGUGGGCCUAAAAGCAGCCAACUUUCAAAAAGCGUUACAGCUUCCUCACCCGUCACUCUAAUACCAAAAACACCCAAUAACCCUUACUUAGUACUAAGUAACUCUAUACUUUUAUAGAAAUUAUUAUGCUAAAACUAGUAACAUGAAGAAGCCCUUCUCCCAAAUGCACCUGUAAGCCAAAAAGAACAAUUCAUUGGCAUUUAACGCUAUUGACCCUAAAGCAAUAACCACACAAGAAAAUUUUGCUAACACCAACGUUAACCUAACACAAGAGCAUUCCGGGAAAGAUUAAAAGAAGUGGAAGGAACUCGGCAAAUUUUAACCCCGCCUGUUUACCAAAAACAUCGCCUCCUGCAGUAUAUAGGAGGUCCAGCCUGCCCAGUGACCAAGUUAAACGGCCGCGGUACCCUAACCGUGCGAAGGUAGCGCAAUCACUUGUUCUUUAAAUGAGGACUAGUAUGAAUGGCAUCACGAGGGUUACACUGUCUCCCACCUCUAAUCAGUGAAACUGAUCUCCCCGUGAAGAAGCGGGGAUAAAACUAUAAGACGAGAAGACCCCAUGGAGCUUCAAACCCGGCAUCAACCAUUAACAUUAAUACCACAUUAAAUAAAUGGACCUGACUGCUGGUUUUAGGUUGGGGUGACCGCGGAGCAUAACAAAACCUCCAUGAUGAACGACCUCCUCUCUAAUCCGAGAGCCACCACUCAAAGAAUCAAAAAAUUGACAUUUAUUGACCCAAACUAUUUUGAUCAACGAACCAAGUUACCCUGGGGAUAACAGCGCAAUCCAUUUCAAGAGCCCCUAUCGACAAAUGGGUUUACGACCUCGAUGUUGGAUCAGGGUAUCCUAGUGGUGCAGCCGCUACUAAAGGUUC